RNAcentral lists this ribosomal RNA (515 nucleotides) under uncultured bacterium. RNAcentral describes it as "bacterial SSU rRNA". It matches the Rfam family "Bacterial small subunit ribosomal RNA", at positions 8 to 515 of the family's 1533-position model. The record is from RNAcentral.
AGAGUUUGAUCCUGGCACAGGAUGAACGCUAGCGGCAGGCCUAACACAUGCAACUCGAGGGGCAGCAUAGAUUAGCUUGCUAAUUUGAUGGCGACCGGCGCACGGGUGCGUAACGCGUAUGCAACCUACGCGCUGUACUGGGGGAUAUCCCGGAGAAAUCCGGACUAAGACCCCAUGGCAUAAUUGAUUGGCAUCAAUUGAUUAUUAAAGGUUACGGUACAGGAUGGGCAUGCGUCCCAUUAGCUAGAUGGUAAGGUAACGGCUUACCAUGGCGACGAUGGGUAGGGGGCCUGAGAGGGUGAUCCCCCACACUGGUACUGAGACACGGACCAGACUCCUACGGGAGGCAGCAGUGAGGAAUAUUGGUCAAUGGUCGGAAGACUGAACCAGCCAUGCCGCGUGCAGGAAAGACGGUCCUAUGGAUUGUAAACUGCUUUUAUCUGGGAAUAACCCCUUUACGUGUAAAGGGCUGAAGGUACCGAAGAAUAAGCACCGGCUAACUCCGUGCCAGCGCC